Molecule: ribosomal RNA, 250 nt
Filed under: uncultured bacterium
Lineage: Bacteria
Description: partial 16S ribosomal RNA
Rfam family: Bacterial small subunit ribosomal RNA
Source: RNAcentral
GCAAGUCGAACGAGAAAGGGAACUUCGGUUCCUGAGUAGAGUGGCGCACGGGUGAGUAACACGUGGAUAACCUGCCCUGAAGUCUGGGAUAACAUCUCGAAAGAGAUGCUAAUACCGGAUAAGCCUACGCCCUCCUCGGAGGAAGUAGGAAAAGAUUUAUUGCUUCAGGAUGGGUCCGCGGUCCAUUAGCUAGUUGGUAGGGUAAUGGCCUACCAAGGCUACGAUGGAUAGCUGGUCUGAGAGGAUGAUC